UUUCGGUAUGAAGUUCUUUAUGACUGAGUGGCGGACGGGUGAGUAACGCGUGGGUAACCUGCCUUGUACUGGGGGAUAACAGUUGGAAACGACUGCUAAUACCGCAUAAGCGCACAAUGUUGCAUGACAUGGUGUGAAAAACUCCGGUGGUAUAAGAUGGACCCGCGUCUGAUUAGCUAGUUGGUGAGAUAACAGCCCACCAAGGCGACGAUCAGUAGCCGACCUGAGAGGGUGAUCGGCCACAUUGGAACUGAGAGACGGUCCAAACUCC
Molecule: ribosomal RNA, 271 nt
Filed under: uncultured Lachnospiraceae bacterium
Lineage: Bacteria; Bacillati; Bacillota; Clostridia; Lachnospirales; Lachnospiraceae
Description: partial 16S ribosomal RNA
Rfam family: Bacterial small subunit ribosomal RNA
Source: RNAcentral